UUCCGGCUGCGCGCGCAUCUCUCAGGUGUGGUGGGCAGGCCGGACCUAGAGUGCCGCUUUUAGCGUUUCAUCUCCGAGCAAACUCACAGGCGUCUUUAGAGCUUUCUCAGGCACUCAGUUAUUUGCUCCUCAGAACAGUUUCGGAGAGAGAAGAGGCAGAAAUCACUGUCACCUGAAGCAAAUGCCUCAGCUCUCCAUGGUUCGCCUGUAUUCUGCCGUCCCAUCGGCGAUGACGGCAUCCAGGGGAUAGCGCUUCUUGCGGAUGCUGCGCCCGGAGGAGAUGAGGUCGGCGUAGCCACGCUGGUGGGAGAAAGCGUAGGCCGAGCGCCGCCUGGACACGCCCCGGCGGAACACAUUCUGCCGCCGCUUCCACUGCUCUUCGGUUUUUAACUGCUUUCGGUGCUUCUGAAUCUACGGAAGCGAGAGAGAUGGGAAAAUACCAACCUGUAAAUUGGAAUGCAGAUGGAAAGAGAACAUGUAUUCCAGCACUAUGAAAGUCAAACAUGAUGCCAAAAUAAAGUGCAAUGCUUCCAAAAAUUGAAAAAGCAUUCACAAAAGUCCAAUAAGAAGUAUCCAAGCCAAUCUGUUGGGAAACCAGAGAAAAACAGAGCACUCAUUUAGGGGAGUUAGCAAGAAAUAAAGGAUCUAAGGAUUCUGAAAAUAGAAUUCAAUUUAAGCAUGGUAUGGCUUGAAUACUGAACAAUCAGAAGCUAUCUAUGGCUCAGGCAAGAAAUAGGAAAUAUGUUUGAUAUAAGGGAUGAAAAUAGCCUCCAUUCAUAUUUGCAAAGCAGCAGAGGCUCAGUUGGAGGAAGAAUGGGAGCCAGGCGGAUGUGCACGCUGGUCUACAUACAGAAAUGCAUACAGUACCAACAGGUACUGAAAACAGUCGACUAAAGCCACAUACCUGGAAAUUGACUGUUAUUAUAAGAGCAGAGGCAAUUGUGACAGCGAAAGAUUGGUAGUCUGAGGGCGCCUCUCCAUCCUGUCCCACAGUUUGCAGAUAAGCUCCAAGAGGUAUGAAGAAGAGGAUCAAUGAUGUUAAAACCCCGUGCAACAAGCUUACGAAGAAUCUCCUAUAGUUGAAUAGUAAGUCUCUUUGUCCCACCACGUAUAACCUGGGGAAGCGGAGGCUCAGUUUGUCACUCACAUCCUUAAGGGGAAAACACAAUUAGAGUUGAGUGCUGUCCAUCGGGAUCAAAGAACUCAGAGAUACGUCACAACCUCUAUCUCAAAAAGAGUUGCAACUUGUUAAGUUUUAGGAAGGCAAAAACUAAACAAGAUGAUAAAUCCUGAAUAAUUUCAUUGUGCAGAGAGCAACCUCGUUACUGUAGUGCACCAUUAUUUGAUAUUUAAUUCUGAGACUAGGUAAAGUAGUAUUAUUUUGCUACUUAAAGCAAAUCAGUAAUGUUUAAAAAAAAAGUGUAGGAAGCCUAUUUUUACUUUCUGAGAGAAUAUAUUUUUUCUGAUACUUUGGGAAAGCAUUUUCACAUACACAUUGAUGAGUUAAUUCCAAAUUAUUCUUUUCAUUCUUGAAAGCAGUUUCUAUAAAAAUUGCUACUAGAUAGAAUGCAGACUAAUUUGGAAAUUAAACCUGUAAGUUUGGGGAGGUAUUAAAAUAAUUUACUUUAAAGAUGUGUAAGUUGUUAUUGUAGAGACAUACUGUUAGGUAUCUAACAAGAAAAUUUUAGUGUCCAAA
Eubalaena glacialis (North Atlantic right whale) is the source of this 1696-nucleotide long non-coding RNA. RefSeq lists it as uncharacterized. NCBI's taxonomy places the organism in Eukaryota, Metazoa, Chordata, Mammalia, Artiodactyla, Balaenidae. The record is from RefSeq and is a predicted model, not a curated record. The transcript has 3 exons.